RNAcentral lists this unclassified non-coding RNA (153 nucleotides) under uncultured Capnodium. RNAcentral describes it as "sequence contains ITS1". Lineage: Eukaryota; Fungi; Ascomycota; Dothideomycetes; Capnodiales; Capnodiaceae. The record is from RNAcentral.
ACGAGAUCAGGGCCUCCGUGCCCGACCUCCAACCCUCUUGUAUCGAAAACCUCGUUGCCUCGGGGGCGGCCCUGCCUCACGGCGGGCACCCCGGAGGACCACUCAAAACCCUGCAUUUACAGUGUCGUCUGAGUAAACAUUUGAAUUAAAUCA